AGAUUAGGUAGUUGGUGGGAUAAAAGCUUACCAAGCCGACGAUCUGUAGCUGGUCUGAGAGGACGAUCAGCCACACUAGGACUGAGACACGGCCCAGACUCCUACGGGAGGCAGCAGUGGGGAAUUUUGGACAAUGGGCGCAAGCCUGAUCCAGCAAUGCCGCGUGCAGGAUGAAGGCCUUCGGGUUGUAAACUGCUUUUGUACGGAACGAAAAGCCCUGGGUUAAUACCCUGGGGUCAUGACGGUACCGUAAGAAUAAGCACCGGCUAACUACGUGCC
Molecule: ribosomal RNA, 279 nt
Filed under: uncultured bacterium
Lineage: Bacteria
Description: partial 16S ribosomal RNA
Rfam family: Bacterial small subunit ribosomal RNA
Source: RNAcentral